GACGAACGCUGGCGGCGUGCCUAAUACAUGCAAGUUGAGCGCUGAAGGUUGGUACUUGUACCAACUGGAUGAGCAGCGAACGGGUGAGUAACGCGUGGGGAAUCUGCCUUUGAGCAGGGGACAACACUUGGAAACGAAUGCUAAUACCGCAUAAAAACUUUAAACACAAGUUUUAAGUUUGAAAGAUGCAAUUGCAUCACUCAAAGAUGAUCCCGCGUUGUAUUAGCUAGUUGGUGAGGUAAAGGCUCACCAAGGCGAUGAUACAUAGCCGACCUGAGAGGGUGAUCGGCCACAUUGGGACUGAGACACGGCCCAAACUCCUACGGGAGGCAGCAGUAGGGAAUCUUCGGCAAUGGACGAAAGUCUGACCGAGCAACGCCGCGUGAGGGAAGAAGGUUUUCGGAUCGUAAAACUCUGUUGGUAGAGAAGAACGUUGGUGAGAGUGGAAAGCUCAUCAAGUGACGGUAACUACCCAGAAAGGGACGGCUAACUACGUG
This 497-nucleotide ribosomal RNA is filed under the name uncultured bacterium. RNAcentral's name for it is "partial 16S ribosomal RNA". It matches the Rfam family "Bacterial small subunit ribosomal RNA", at positions 28 to 507 of the family's 1533-position model. The record is from RNAcentral.